CGCCCGCCGCGCGCGGCGGGCGGGGCGGGGGCAUAUCAAUUAGCGGAGGAAAAUAAACUUACAAGGAUUCCCCUAGUAACGGCGAGCGAACCGGGAAUAGCCCAGCUUGAGAAUCGGGAGGAUUAAACCCCAUCCGAAUUGUAGUCUGGAGAGGCAUCCUCAGAGACGGACUGGACNUUUCUUACCCUGGANNGNGACGCCUGGGAGNGUGAGAGCCUCCGUCNUGCCCAGAACAAGUCUCCCCNCGAGNUUAC
RNAcentral lists this ribosomal RNA (254 nucleotides) under uncultured eukaryote. RNAcentral describes it as "partial 26S ribosomal RNA". It matches the Rfam family "Eukaryotic large subunit ribosomal RNA", at positions 24 to 255 of the family's 3401-position model. The record is from RNAcentral.